This is a long non-coding RNA of Pseudomyrmex gracilis, 1603 nucleotides long. RefSeq lists it as uncharacterized. The transcript has 5 exons. The record is from RefSeq and is a predicted model, not a curated record. Lineage: Eukaryota; Metazoa; Arthropoda; Insecta; Hymenoptera; Formicidae.
AAAAAUAAGAAUGGUAGAAUGUGACUUCUUUGUUAUCCAGAUACUCCAAAGCACAAAAUGCGUUGUAACAUUGUACGCUAGGUAUCUGUCAUCUAUAAUAUUAUGGCUUGUUAGCGACACUGCGUAACAACACUGCAUUACUGAUUCCACAAGUGAUCAAAAUUCGUCAUUUAAUACGCCAAAUUAUUGAGGAGGACCGUAUUAUCUACAAUAUCCGUAUUAUCAUUUUUUCUACGUACAUGUACAGAGAUGCAAUUUCGUAUUGCGCCGGGAACACUGUGGAAAGCCGCAAAAAUGAGGCAGAGCUUUUCCAUCACCAAUGUUGUCAAAAGAAAAUACAUCAAAGUCGAUUAACUACGUGGAAUGGUAUUUUCCACGAACUUGUCAACCUAACGCACACAACGGCUAUAUUGCAUACUUUAGUGAAAGAUUUUUUUUGUUUAAAAGUAUGUAAAGUAAAAAAUAUCCUCACGAUGUAAAGGAAGGACACGAACUAAAACGAAGGUAACAAAUGUACUGUGCUGUUAAGCAUGACAUCGGGACAGAAUUACCAUGGUUACUCAUCGCACGCUCAUUUUACGGUACGUACGGAAAAGAAAACCUUUAUGUUCAUUUUUCUAUGUAAAUUUCAUUUUUUUAAUUUUUCUGAAGUAGCGUUUGUCGAAAGCGAUAGCAGUAAAUGCUUAUUUUUCUACUGCUUAUACAAAAUCAUCGGUACACCCGUUAUAUCGGGGAUACCUGCAUCGCAGGUGCCGCCCUUUUCCGGAGUAUUUUUCUCACUCAUACGGCGACGGCGGGCAGAAGGGCGAACAACGCGAGCAAACUCGUAACGGAAACUUUCAGAGUGCUCGUAAUUUCAUGCAGAAUUUGAAAAGAGCGGAAGUAGGACAAUUACGAUGGGAGGAACAAUCGAGUCCUCGUGAUUUCCGAGCACGUUAAACCCGUUUCCCUCCUUUAAGACAUCGCACGUAUGACAAUCUCACGUACUAUCGUGCAAGCAAGCGUAUAAUUAGAGAGAUCUUGUGAACUUAAUUAUAUCCGCAAGAACACAAAUGUAACUGGGAAAGAGACUCUCAAAAUCUAACAACAAAAACCAUGAAACACUGUGACGUUGAUAAGAGAUAAAAACGAAAAACUGCUCGGUUCUCUGCCCUUUUUAUUGUGCUUCCUUGUCUCGCAUUGCUGACAGUGCGGAAUGAAGGAGUUUCCCAUGCGUGAAGAUCAUUCCCGGAUUCUGAGUAAUCCAACCCAACCUGCUUGAAAUAGGGCAUCUCAACGUAAAUUUAUGAGAAGAUGAGAAAGAUAGAUAGAAAAAUAGAGAGAAAAAAAUAUAAGAAAGGAUCCAUUUAUAACUAGAAAAUUUAAAGCAAUGCGACGUAAAAUUUCUAACAAGAGAAAUAUUGACGUAAAAAAAUGUAUUUUCUACGGAAUACGACACGCGAUUUCUGAGGUGUCAAUCUUACUCAAGAACAAUUUAAUUAAAGAUUUAAUUACAUAUGCAAGAGAAGAGAAGUUGACGAACUGAUGCUGAUUAAAAUUGCAAUUGUUCGCGUAGUUUGGUUCUUAUAAUGUAAUUUUGAUCAAAUAAAGAAAACAAACUCAU